UACAGAGGGGGCAAGCGUUAUUCGGAAUUAUUGGGCGUAAAGAGCUCGUAGGCGGUUUGUCGCGUCUGGUGUGAAAAUCCAGGGCUUAACCCUGGACCUGCAUCGGGUACGGGCAGACUAGAGUGCGGUAGGGGAGAUCGGAAUUCCUGGUGUAGCGGUGAAAUGCGCAGAUAUCAGGAGGAACACCGGUGGCGAAGGCGGAUCUCUGGGCCGUAACUGACGCUGAGGAGCGAAAGCAUGGGGAGCGAACAGG
Molecule: ribosomal RNA, 253 nt
Filed under: uncultured bacterium
Lineage: Bacteria
Description: partial 16S ribosomal RNA
Rfam family: Bacterial small subunit ribosomal RNA
Source: RNAcentral